UAAAAAUGUAAAUUUAAAAUUCUAAGUUAUUAAUAGUUAUAAUCUUUAAAAUUAAAAAAUUUGGCGGUAUUUUAGUCUUUUCAGAGGAACCUGUUCUGUAAUCGAUUUUCCACGAUAAAUUAUACUUUUUUUAUUAAUUUGUAUAUCGUCGUAAAAAAAUAUUUUAAAAGAAAUUAAUGUUUAAAAAUUUUUUUAGAGUAAAAAUCAGAUCAAGAUGCAGUUUAUAUAAAAGGAGAAAUGGGUUACAUUAUAUUUAUAUGUGGAUUAUUAAGUGAAAUAUAAUAUGAAAAUGGAUUUGAAAGUAAUUUUAAUUAUUUUAUAAAAAUGAUUUUAGCUCUAAAAUAUG
This 346-nucleotide ribosomal RNA is filed under the name Iphiclus sp. MJM-2013. RNAcentral describes it as "partial 12S ribosomal RNA". Lineage: Eukaryota; Metazoa; Arthropoda; Insecta; Coleoptera; Erotylidae. The record is from RNAcentral.